Long non-coding RNA from Cephus cinctus (wheat stem sawfly), 4185 nucleotides. RefSeq lists it as uncharacterized. The transcript has 5 exons. Lineage: Eukaryota; Metazoa; Arthropoda; Insecta; Hymenoptera; Cephidae. The record is from RefSeq and is a predicted model, not a curated record.
UUUUACGGGUGAGAUAGCGAGAGAACCCGAGUCGUGUAUUUAUACGGAUUUCGCCCAGCACUGUUUGGAUUCGGUGUAUAAAAUUUGUAGGUCCCCUCACGUACAGUUGGAUAAGGCCCGUUUCACAAGGUACAUCGCCAUCUAGUGUUGAACCUCCAAUCCUCGAUUAUUAGGACCAGUUACUGGCACAUGUCCCCCACUGGGGAUACAGCCAUAAGGAAAGGAAGGAAGGAAGAAACCCGAGUCCUGAUUGCGUAGAAAGUUCGCGUCCUGUAAAUCAAGGAUAUUUAUCGUCUAAUUCGCUGGAAAGCUCCGCGGGGACCGAAUUGUUCAUCCUGCCAAUUGUAUAACCCGAAGUUGAAACGAAAAGGAAACUGGAAUCCUCGUGUAUUCCCGAGGCUUAGCUGUUCGGCAUCGAAGAGGGUGUCUCCAACUUAUUUCCAUUAGCCUGCGGAGGGCGUCUAUGGAAAAAGUCGAGUCGCUUGCACGAGGCAGCUCCGUCUAUAUCGAUUACUCGUGAAUUCGCCGUAAAGAGGAUUCUCGGGUAACGAUAAAGGAAAAUGUGAAUGCCAGGAGAAUAUAAAGAAACUGAGAGAAAAUGAAAUGCGGUAUUAUACAAUAACGAUUAAUGUUUUAUUAAAGGACAACUGUGAAUGGCAGUAACACGGUGCAAUGAGAUCGGAAGGGCUACUUAAUAUUAGUGAUAAAAGUGACAGAGUGGAUAGUCAACAUGAAAAUAAGGGUGGUCCGACACCAGAGCGACGAGUCCUCGACAUGAGAAUAAUACACUGCGAGUCUUCUCAAGUUCCAGGCUUGAUAAACGGUCAGUGGUGUUCGUGCUGCCUUACAAAGCUUCCAAGUGCGGCUGGUCUUAAACGUAAAAAUAAAUGUGGCAACGUACAUUGAGACGGAGCACCGUUGCGAACGAGGAGUCAUUCAAAAGGGAAGGGUCUUUGUUGUCGAAGGGAUGAGAGGUAUAAGCGAUGCUGGCGAUGGCGGCGACCGCAGGGACGCUGGAGCCGAGGAGCCCCAGGAAGGGCAGGGCACGAGCUGAAUGGAAGGGCAGGCUGGAAGAAGAGACGUGGAAAAAGGAGAAGUAGAUGAUGAGGAGGAGGAGGAGGAGGGGGAGGAAGAAGAAGAAGAAGAAGAAGAAGAGAGAACUGAAGGAAGCCAAAGAGUGGCAGGGCAGGGGGCGCCAGUGCUGGCUGUGCUGGCUGUGCUACCUGACAAGUUCUUUCCUUUGUCCCUAGCCUUGCAUCCGUCUCCCUUUUUUCUCAUUCCAAGGCAAUCUUCCUCCUCCUCCGCUCCAUCCAUCCUUCACUCACUCUCGUUCUCUGUAUUUCAUCCUCUUCCUCCUAUAUCUUCCAUCUCAACCUUUCCGAUUACCUCUACCAGGUUAUGCGCUGCUUCCCAGUCAGCAGUCUUCUCUUGUGUCUCUCUUUUGUUCUGUCCUUGUCUCUCCUCUGUCUCUUCAUUCUCUUUAUCACUCUCUCUCUCUCUCUCUCUCUCUUUUCUCUAUCUUCUUGGGAGUGAGAGAGAGAAAGAGCAUUGGUAUCUAUCUUCUCACUGGUUGCAGCUCAGACACUUCCACCAGCCCACCCAGCCGGCAUGUUAUACUUCGGGACGAAGCCUCCGGCAAAUGAGCCAGAAGAAGCUGCGCUGAUGCUGUACGGAUGGAAACGAGCCACCUUAACCAUAUCGAUAAUAAAAGAUUCCAUUGCAGCAACUCAUGCAUCUACUUGGAUUCAAAAAAAUUUCAUCACGUCUCAGCUAACCAAGCGGCAGCCGGCACUUGGCCCUCUAUGAGGGCAUAAAGCCAAAAGGCCAAAGAAGAAGAAUAAACAAGCAGCAGUUGAAACGGUGGCACAAAUCGUAUCACCAUUACUACUUGACACUCAGUCGUUAUCACGAACCUCGACAUCCUGGAGACGUUAAACCGGACAACGUCGACAUUUACUCAGGUCGGAUCCUUCUCAAACAGGAUAUCGCAUUUGGUUUCUAUGCUGGACACUUCCGGCCGUCACCAACCUUUCCUGUAUUUAAUGGAUGGCCAUUACCAGGAACAAAGGAAGAGAAUUUCACCACGAUCACUAAUUACACUUCGUGCGCUCCAACUGCUAACUAUCGAAGCGUAAUGUUCCUUCGGAAAAUCAUGCAGAUGUUAUCGCAACCCCCGAAGGGUCCCUUGUGGGCUACGUACCUGGAGGGCAUCCAUCAUUAUUCGAAACGCGUUAGGUCACUCGAAUGAGAAUGAAUCGAAACCGUAUUGGAACCAGUGCUCUUUGCGGCCUUUACAAAACGUUCGAUUAACAGUACGUUGUACAGCAUAGUGAGAAUCCGCCUUGCGGUUCCACAGCGAAAAGAUCGCGCGAUGUAUCUCGUACUUGAUCUUUAUUCAGAGUCGAGCGUUGUAGCCAGGAGUGUAUCCGGUGAUCGAAUCACCCUGCGCAAAUUUUCUUAUUUCUCUCAUCGAAUCUUCUUUAUAUUCAAGACCGGUAACAAUUGUCAUACAUUACUUCUCUUCCUUCCAAGGGUCUGAAUUUAUCUUCCUUUUUUUUCUCAGCCUUUUAUUUUCUUCCCCAUUCAUUUUACCGUCUCUUACCCUAAUUUCCGAUCUAGGCGAGAUAAUAGACUGUGCCACGUCCUUCACGAGGUGCUGCUAUCAACUAUUAUAAGCUCUAUGUAUAGCUACCAGAACCAUCAUUCACUUCAUCCUGCGUUCCUAAAGGAGAGCCGAUGUUUUUAGAAGGCCUUUGUAAGAGCCGCACUCGGUCUUGGUUUUUAACAUCCUCCCCUCUCCUCCCUGCUUCACCGUUCUCCCCUUCCUGGCACUUAUCCUCCUCGCUCAGUUACCCUUGGCGCACCCGUCACGUUCUCACCCAUUGGUACCCAGGGCGAAUAAAUCUUUGACCAAGAAGUCAUAAAACAUACGUUACUGGUGGUAUAUGUCGCUGACGAUAAAAACCAUCUCGUGGAUAAUCAUAUGUGACCCUUUGAUAGUUUAAUAUAUAUAUAUAUAUACAUACAUUAUACGAUAAAAAUUGUUAAAUCAAGUAUGAACGUUUAUUGGACAAUUUACGGUGCACCGUUUUACCACCGUACGUACGUACAUUUUACUGACGAGUAUUGCAGUUCUAUGGGAAUUUGACCUAAGCGCUUUCAGGUUCUUAUUUUAAAAGUUAAAAGUUUAUUGACGAUGUCGAUAAUUAGCUGGUAGCCUACUUAGCAUGAAUCAAGUAAAGGACAGCGCGCAGCAUAUCAUCUGCAAUUAGAAACGGGGCUCGGGAUGAGGCCAUUGAAAUUCUGUCGGUGCUCGAAAGUGAAAACGCUUGCGAAAUAAAACGUCACGGCACGACUUGUGCACGAGUGGCAAGUUAACGAUACAGGUAUCUGGGAAUUAAUUGUCCUAUAGCGACUAAUACGCGUUAUUUAUUAGACUUUAAACGGCGAGCGGAUAGGAUUAUGAACACGAUUCGUUUGUGAGGCACGAAAUGCCCGGGAAAGCCUGAACUAGAUAGAUAAACUUUGAAAUAUCGAUGUAUCGCAACAGGCCUAUUCGUAGAGAACGAGGAAACAUUAUUUUGUCAAUAUAUAACUAAUACACUUGUUUUUACAAGAUAACCACGUCACUCAAAGAGACUAUCGACUAAAUAUACAUACGUGAUAUACGUUCCAUUAAAAGUAUAAGAAACUAUCUUAAUAGACUGGAUAAGACGUCGCUAUUCAAAACUUUACUGUAAUCAUGUUAAAUUGAUAUAAUGAUACCGUAAACGAGUUCGGUAAGUGUAUUGGAUAUUUUUAAGUAAUUGGAUAGUCUAUACAAUUAUACCUGUAACGAGUAUAUUGAUAGUCUUACGGCAUAGGCGUAUAUCUAUAUUAUCAUUGGCGAUUCCCUCAAGCAAAUCGGUCCGAGGGUCGCAAAUUCGUGCGGUCAUGGCUAAUCCGCAAAAUACGUAUUACGCUGAGGUGUUGAUCGUAUUAAGGGCGUCGCGUUCGGUAUUCUACGCGAUUACCGGGAAUCCCAUUAGCUUGUCCGUUGAAAAUCCGCCGGAAGGGAAAUUGGGGAAUACAGCACGAAGAUGUUGUAUAGGAAAGAGUUAAUUGUGAAAUUACUUUUACUUCCUGUGUUAUAAGGUGCUUUUUCUCUAUUGUACUAGCGGCAAUGGAGCCUUGGCUCUGCUUUUA